Molecule: long non-coding RNA, 260 nt
Filed under: Mytilus galloprovincialis (Mediterranean mussel)
Lineage: Eukaryota; Metazoa; Mollusca; Bivalvia; Mytilida; Mytilidae
Source: RNAcentral
AACUGAAUAGAUAUUUAAGGUGGUACCUAACACUACAGGGAGAUAACUCUGUAAAGUCAGCUUAACGUUUUAAUUACGUUGUGUUGUAAAGGGAAUAUUAAGCUUCUCAAUGAUCAAAAUUGGUGUUUGUCAAACUGCUAUAUAACCAGUGUAAUUUUUCUGACAAAACGGUUGGUUAAAAAUUUUUGAAAUUUUUAUAUUUUUGUUGAAGGGUCAAAGUAAAUACUUUGACAAAAUUUUAUGAAAAUUAAACGAGCCAA